RNAcentral lists this transfer RNA (77 nucleotides) under Bacillus amyloliquefaciens. RNAcentral's name for it is "tRNA-Arg". It matches the Rfam family "tRNA". Rfam says of the family: Transfer RNA (tRNA) molecules are approximately 80 nucleotides in length. Their secondary structure includes four short double-helical elements and three loops (D, anti-codon, and T loops). Further hydrogen bonds mediate the characteristic L-shaped molecular structure. tRNAs have two regions of fundamental functional importance: the anti-codon, which is responsible for specific mRNA codon recognition, and the 3' end, to which the tRNAs corresponding amino acid is attached (by aminoacyl-tRNA synthetases). tRNAs cope with the degeneracy of the genetic code in two manners: having more than one tRNA (with a specific anti-codon) for a particular amino acid; and 'wobble' base-pairing, i.e. permitting non-standard base-pairing at the 3rd anti-codon position. Lineage: Bacteria; Bacillati; Bacillota; Bacilli; Caryophanales; Bacillaceae. RNAcentral also lists the same sequence under 1 other name. The record is from RNAcentral.
GCGCCCGUAGCUCAAUUGGAUAGAGCGUUUGAUUACGGAUCAAAAGGUUAGGGGUUCGACUCCUCUCGGGCGCGCCA